Molecule: ribosomal RNA, 431 nt
Filed under: uncultured bacterium
Lineage: Bacteria
Description: partial 16S ribosomal RNA
Rfam family: Bacterial small subunit ribosomal RNA
Source: RNAcentral
AACGAACGUUGGCGGCAGGCUUAACACAUGCAAGUCGAGCGCCUCGCAAGAGGAGCGGCAGACGGGUGAGUAACGCGUGGGAACGUACCCUUAUCUUCGGAAUAGCUCUGGGAAACUGGAAGUAAUACCGAAUGUGCCCUUAGGGGGAAAGAUUUAUCGGAUAAGGAUCGGCCCGCGUUGGAUUAGCUAGUUGGUGGGGUAAAGGCCUACCAAGGCGACGAUCCAUAGCUGGUCUGAGAGGAUGAUCAGCCACAUUGGGACUGAGACACGGCCCAAACUCCUACGGGAGGCAGCAGUGGGGAAUAUUGGACAAUGGGCGCAAGCCUGAUCCAGCCAUGCCGCGUGAGUGAUGAAGGCCUUAGGGUUGUAAAGCUCUUUCACCGGAGAAGAUAAUGACGGUAUCCGGAGAAGAAGCCCCGGCUAACUUCGUG